AAGGCCUCGCGCGAGUUGGAUGAGCCGACGCGUAUUAGCUAGUUGGUGGGUAAAGGCCCACCAAGGCGACGAUCCGUAGCUGGUCUGAGAGGAUGAUCAGCCACACUGGAACUGAGACACGGUCCAGACUCCUACGGGAGGCAGCAGUGGGGAAUAUUGGACAAUGGGCGCAAGCCUGAUCCAGCAAUGCCGCGUGUGUGAAGAAGGCCUUCGGGUUGUAAAGCACUUUUAUCAGGUACGAAAAGCGUUGGAUUAAUACUCUGACGUGCUGACGGUACCUGAGGAAUAAGCACCGGCUAACUUCGUG
This 307-nucleotide ribosomal RNA is filed under the name uncultured bacterium. RNAcentral's name for it is "bacterial SSU rRNA". It matches the Rfam family "Bacterial small subunit ribosomal RNA", at positions 203 to 507 of the family's 1533-position model. The record is from RNAcentral.